AGGUGCGAUCAUAGCAGCACUAAUGCACUAGAUCCCAUCUGAACUCCGUAGUGAAGCUUGCUUGGGAGAGAGUAGUACGAGGAUGGGUGACCUCCUGGGAAGUCCUCGUGUUGCACCUC
This is a ribosomal RNA of Lupinus angustifolius (narrow-leaved blue lupine), 119 nucleotides long. The record is from Rfam. Lineage: Eukaryota; Viridiplantae; Streptophyta; Magnoliopsida; Fabales; Fabaceae.